This 497-nucleotide ribosomal RNA is filed under the name uncultured bacterium. RNAcentral's name for it is "partial 16S ribosomal RNA". It matches the Rfam family "Bacterial small subunit ribosomal RNA", at positions 28 to 507 of the family's 1533-position model. The record is from RNAcentral.
GAUGAACGCUGGCGGCGUGCCUAAUACAUGCAAGUCGAGCGAACAGACGAGGAUCUUGCUCCUCUGACGUUAGCGGCGGACGGGUGAGUAACACGUGGAUAACCUACCUAUAAGACUGGGAUAACUUCGGGAAACCGGAGCUAAUACCGGAUAAUAUAUUGAACCGCAUGGUUCAAUAGUGAAAGACGGUUUUGCUGUCACUUAUAGAUGGAUCCGCGCCGCAUUAGCUAGUUGGUAAGGUAACGGCUUACCAAGGCAACGAUGCGUAGCCGACCUGAGAGGGUGAACGGCCACACUGGAACUGAGACACGGUACAGACUCCUACGGGAGGCAGCAGUAGGGAAUCGUCCGCAAUGGGCGAAAGCCUGACGGAGCAACGCAGCGUGAGUGAUGAAGGUCUGCGGAGCGUAAAACUCUGUUAUUAGGGAAGAACAAAUGUGUAAGUAACUAUGCACGUCUUGACGGUACCUAAUCAGAAAGCCACGGCUAACUACGUG